This 238-nucleotide unclassified non-coding RNA is filed under the name plant metagenome. Its description in RNAcentral is "partial contains 5.8S ribosomal RNA, internal transcribed spacer 2, and large subunit ribosomal RNA". The record is from RNAcentral.
GAAGUUUGUCAGUUCUGGCGGAAGGCGCUUGAGAUCUAUGAAAGACUCGGCAUUCCGUUCGCCGAGACCGUUCGCGCGGCGAUGCGCCAGCUUAACUGUUGAUUCAUCCGCCCGGCCCACUCCGGUGGGUCCAUGAGGAUGAUGUACGUGUUACGGCAGACCUGCGGUCGGGGCAAGGUGGAUGUGCGUAGCAGAGUGAGCACUUCGUUGAGUAGUUGGUGGGCUUGGUGGCAGGCGC